GAUUUCUCUGAACAUGCUGUGCGGGUCGUCCAGCAACAUAGAAUAUAGAAAACUUCCAGAGAUAGAGAAGCCUUUCUGCUUCCAGCCCUCUGAUAAGCAGGAUGGAUCAGGACUCCGGUGGAAGAGUCAAUAGUUUCUUACUGAAGAUCUGGAUGGCUGGAGAAGGUCAAGCACAGAGCAUGCAGGCCCCCCAAGUACAGGAUCAGACCCUAGGCUGGCAGCUCCCUGUGCUCAGUGGCCAGAGGUCACUGUGGAGGCCUGGAGGUGCUGUGAGACCUGGUGCCCCUUCCCUGGAACCCGAACUGCCUCCCAGCUUCUCCAGUGCGGUGAACAGGAAGCGCGUGUGGCCCAGCUCUCACCCUCCUGCACCGGACCAGGAACAGGCCCAGUGCAGGUGCUGCACCCACAGCCACCCCGACAUCCAAACCAACAUCUGCCCCUGGACAGACAGUGUGGGGCCCUG
Molecule: long non-coding RNA, 463 nt
Filed under: Rhinopithecus bieti (black snub-nosed monkey)
Lineage: Eukaryota; Metazoa; Chordata; Mammalia; Primates; Cercopithecidae
Description: lncRNA (ENSRBIG00000045389.1)
Source: RNAcentral